Long non-coding RNA from Ornithodoros turicata, 906 nucleotides. RefSeq lists it as uncharacterized. The record is from RefSeq and is a predicted model, not a curated record. The transcript is spliced from 2 exons. Lineage: Eukaryota; Metazoa; Arthropoda; Arachnida; Ixodida; Argasidae.
UUAAGAACCACCAUCGUCAUCCCAUCGCUUCUAGUCCUUGUAGUAGUCUCAUCCCAUCAUCAUCAGGGCGUCACCAAGCUCCAAAACGCAGCUGCUUCUACUCUACUACGAUCAUCACCACUUGCACCGACCCAUUGAUCCGUGGCACACAACCAAAUGUGUGCCACACCAGGUAGAAGAAGAAGAAGAAGGACCAUCAUCCUAACCAUAUUCCAUCUAGUCCUGGCCAAUCGCCCUUAGUGGCUAACGGCCACCGCUCCGAGGACGAAGAAGAAGAACCAUCGCCUACCACCUACCACCACCAGGCACAGGCAACAGAGUGGCGCGGCCACAAAUGGGAAGAACCAUUGUGAACCGAAGACGCUGACGAAGAAGGCUAUUGAAUUUCUGAUCCCAUAGUGGUGGAUGGAAGGUCUGCUUUCAGCUCUCGAAGCCAUCACUGCGUUCGGUCUCUCUACGGUGGCCACACGACACCGGGAACAGGAAGAGUGCUCACCGUGUCCCGAGCUGCAUCGGACAUUAGGGGGACUCUGUAUCUUUCUGGUUUUCUUAAUUUCGCUGCUGAUAGCGCUGCUCUGGGGGAAGCGCCGUCGUCAAGUGCUUAGAGAGAAGCUCAAGAAGGAACAAUAAUGCUCUAUUUAAUUGUGUUUGUCGUCGUCCUCCUUGCAGCCACCUUCGUGGGCGUCUACCAGAAGACAAGGAAAAGUAAAUGGUGGCAGCGUUGCUGUGGGAAUCGGCCAGCGGAGGAAGGUGCUGCGAGCUGAAAACGUGCUUUUGAGGAUGGUGGCAAGGCCCUAACUCUUUCGGCAUGGACCGAUAGCUUGAUCCUGUCUUGACGUCACAGAGUUCACGGUGCCCAAUAUGUAUAAGGUUAAGAAAUAAACGAAAUUUUUUUCAUAUCAGUUA